RNAcentral lists this ribosomal RNA (1867 nucleotides) under Trebouxia decolorans. RNAcentral describes it as "LSU rRNA". It matches the Rfam family "Bacterial large subunit ribosomal RNA", at positions 797 to 2622 of the family's 2925-position model. Lineage: Eukaryota; Viridiplantae; Chlorophyta; Trebouxiophyceae; Trebouxiales; Trebouxiaceae. The record is from RNAcentral.
UCGGCGGAUGAGCUGUGGUUAGGGGUGAAAUGCCAAUCGAACUCGGAGCUAGCUGGAUCUCCCCGAAAUGCGUUGAGGCGCAGCGGUUAACGAUGGGCUGUCUAGGGGUAAAGCACUGUUUCGGUGCGGGCUGCGAGAGCGGUACCAAAUCGUAGCAAACUAAGAAUACUAGGCACUGCUUUCCGUUAACCAGUGAGACGGUGGGGGAUAAGCUCCAUCGUCGAGAGGGAAACAGCCCAGAUCACCAGCUAAGGCCCCAAAAUGACCGCUAAGUGGCAAAGGAGGUGAGAAUGCUGAAACAACCAGGAGGUUUGCUUAGAAGCAGCCACCCUUUAAAGAGUGCGUAAUAGCUCACUGGUGGAGCGUUCUUGCGCCGAAAAUGAACGGGACUAAGCGGUCUGCCGAAGCUGUGGGUAAUAUCAUUAUCUUUUGAUUUGAUAUUACGGUAGGGGAGCGUUCCGCUCUAGGGUGAAGCUCCAACGUAAGUUGUUGUGGACAAAGCGGAAGUGAGAAUGUCGGCUUGAGUAACGAAAACAUUGGUGAGAAUCCAAUGCCCCGAAAACCUAAGGCUUCCUCCACUAGGCUCGUCCAUGGGGGGUGAGUCGGGACCUAAGGCCAGGCCGAAAGGCGUAGUCGAUGGAAAACAGGUUAAUAUUCCUGUACUAAUUUUUAAGUGGUACCGAGGGACGAAGGAGGGAACAGUUGGCCAAUAUUGGAUGUUGGCGGAAACGUUCAAGGUGAUGAGAGAUAGAAUAAAAACUAUUCUUGAGCUGAGGCGUGAUACGGUUUUAUUCAAUGUAUGAGAGCUUUGCUCAAAUUCAAAAUAAAACUCAAUUAGUUGUCAAACUUCCUAGAAAAGCUCGAACUUCCAAUACUUAAAAAUUACCCGUACCCGAAACCGACACAGGUAGGUAGGUAGAGUAUACCAAGGGGCGCGAGAUAACUCUCUCUAAGGAACUCGGCAAAAUGGCCCCGUAACUUCGGGAGAAGGGGCGCCCUCAAUUAAGAGGGCCGCAGUGACCAGGCCCAGGCGACUGUUUACCAAAAACACAGGUCUCCGCUAAGUCGUAAGACAAUAUAUGGGGGCCGACACCUGCCCAGUGCCGGAAGGUGAAGGAAGUUGGUUACUUGGACUUGUUCAAGAAAGCUGACAACCGAAGCCCCGGUGAACGGCGGCCGUAACUCUGACGGUCCUAAGGUAGCGAAAUUCCUUGUCAGGUAAGUUCUGACCCGCACGAAAGGUGUAACGAUCUGGGCACUGUCUCGGAGAGAGGCUCGGUGAAAUAGACAUGUCCGUGAAGAUGCGGACUACCUACACCUGGACAGAAAGACCCUAUGAAGCUUUACUGUAACCUGGAAUUGAAUUUGGGCUUUUCUUGCGCAGUCUAGGUGGGAGGCGUUGACAGUUCCCUUCCGGGGGGGCUUGAGCCACCAGUGAGAGACCACUCUGGAGAAGCUAGAAUUCUAAUGGCGAUCCUUGAAUCAGGACGCUUGACAGUUUCAGGCGGGCAGUUUGACUGGGGCGGUCGUCUCCUAAAAGGUAACGGAGAUGUGCAAAGGUUCCCUCAGGCUGGACGGAAAUCAGCCGAAGAGUGUAAAGGCAUAAGGGAGCUUGACUGCAAGACCUACAAGUCGAGCAGGGGCGAAAGCCGGCCUUAGUGAUCCGACGGUACCGAGUGGAAGGGCCGUCGCUCAACGGAUAAAAGUUACUCUAGGGAUAACAGGCUGAUCUUCCCCAAGAGUUCACAUCGACGGGAAGGUUUGGCACCUCCGAUGUCGGCUCAUCGCAACCUGGGGCGGUAGUACGUCCCAAGGGUUGGGCUGUUCGCCCAUGAAAGCGGUACGUGAGCUGGGUUCAGAACGUCGU